Molecule: ribosomal RNA, 962 nt
Filed under: Fuscidea lightfootii
Lineage: Eukaryota; Fungi; Ascomycota; Lecanoromycetes; Umbilicariales; Fuscideaceae
Description: eukaryotic LSU rRNA
Rfam family: Eukaryotic large subunit ribosomal RNA
Source: RNAcentral
UCGACCUCGGAUCAGGUAGGAAUACCCGCUGAACUUAAGCAUAUCAAUAAGCGGAGGAAAAGAAACCAACAGGGAUUGCCUCAGUAACGGCGAGUGAAGCGGCAACAGCUCAAAUUUGAAAUCUGGCUCCAGGGCCCGAGUUGUAAUUUGCAGAGGAUGCUUCGGCGACGGUCCCAGUCCAAGUGCCUUGGAACAGGACGUCAUGGAGGGUGAGAAUCCCGUACGUGACUGGCGGCCGCCGCCGGGUGAAGCUCCUUCGACGAGUCGAGUUGUUUGGGAAUGCAGCUCUAAAUGGGUGGUAAAUUUCAUCUAAAGCUAAACAUUGGCCGGAGACCGAUAGCGCACAAGUAGAGUGAUCGAAAGAUGAAAAGCACUUUGAAAAGAGAGUUAAACAGUACGUGAAAUUGUUGAAAGGGAAGCGUUGGCGACCAGACGUGACGCCUGGGGCUCAACCAUGAUUCUUCACGGUGUACUCCCCAGAGGUCAGGCCAGCAUCGGUCUCGACGGUCGGACAAAGGCCCUGCGAACGUAGCUCCCUCCGGGGAGUGUUAUAGCGCAGGGAGCCAUGCGACCUGUUGGGACUGAGGAACGCGCUUCGGCCCGGAUGCUGGCGUAAUGGUCGUCAACGACCCGUCUUGAAACACGGACCAAGGAGUCUAACAUCUAUGCGAGUGUUUGGGUGUCAAACCCACACGCGGAAUGAAAGUGAACGGAGGUGGGAACCCUUCCGGGCGCACCAUCGACCGAUCCAGAUGUCUUCGGAUGGAUUUGAGUAAGAGCAUAGCUGUUGGGACCCGAAAGAUGGUGAACUAUGCCUGAAUAGGGUGAAGGCAAGGGAAACCUUGCUGGAGGCUCGCAGCGGUUCUGACGUGCAAAUCGAUCGUCAAAUUUGGGCAUAGGGGCGAAAGACUAAUCGAACCAUCUAGUAGCUGGUUCACGUCGAAGUUUCCCUCAGGAUAGCA